CCUACGGGAGGCAGCAGUGAGGAAUAUUGGUCAAUGGACGAGAGUCUGAACCAGCCAAGUAGCGUGAAGGAUGACUGCCCUAUGGGUUGUAAACUUCUUUUAUAUGGGAAUAAAACGUUCCACGUGUGGGAUUUUGUAUGUACCAUAUGAAUAAGGAUCGGCUAACUCCGUGCCAGCAGCCGCGGUGAUACGGAGGAUCCGAGCGUUAUCCGGAUUUAUUGGGUUUAAAGGGAGCGUAGGUGGAUUGUUAAGUCAGUUGUGAAAGUUUGCGGCUCAACCGUAAAAUUGCAGUUGAAACUGGCAGUCUUGAGUACAGUAGAGGUGGGCGGAAUUCGUGGUGUAGCGGUGAAAUGCUUAGAUAUCACGAAGAACUCCGAUUGCGAAGGCAGUUCACUGGACUGCAACUGACACUGAGGCUCGAAAGUGUGGGUAUCAAACAGGAUUAGAUACCCCAGUAGUC
This 460-nucleotide ribosomal RNA is filed under the name uncultured bacterium. RNAcentral's name for it is "partial 16S ribosomal RNA". It matches the Rfam family "Bacterial small subunit ribosomal RNA", at positions 338 to 795 of the family's 1533-position model. The record is from RNAcentral.